AACCAACCUGGUCUCAUGGGAAAUACGUACCUCUGCACACUUUUUUGCAGCGCCACAAAUAUGUACCACCCGGUACGUAUUGCUACAGUUUUGAGACACAAACGUCCACUGGGGUCGCUAAAGAGAAGGACUGCAUGACAUUGUGAUCGACAGUAAGAGCAGAGGUUCCAGUCAUAUCAAAGAGGAAGAAGAGUAAAGUUUUUUUGUUUUUAGCCUAUCAAGGAACAGGAGAUUUGAAGAUCAUCUGUAAUCUCACUAUCUCUCUGCCUCCUGCAGUACAACGCAGACAGGUGAGUUGAUUAAUGCUAGGCGGUUGCUCCGCUUCAGACCUUAAACACUUGCAUCACCAACGCAUCACCGGCACCCAAUUAACUAGCAUUGAAAACAUUUAUUUAAGCAUUGCCUGUGUAGGGAAAGAAAACCUCAUCAAGGUUGUUUCCCACCUUAACCAUGGACGUGAAAUCCUCUGCAAACCACUACCCAUUUAUUUUC
Molecule: long non-coding RNA, 492 nt
Organism: Carassius carassius (crucian carp)
Lineage: Eukaryota; Metazoa; Chordata; Actinopteri; Cypriniformes; Cyprinidae
Exons: 3
Source: RefSeq, a predicted model, not a curated record